GUUUGAUCAUGGCUCAGAUUGAACGCUGGCGGCAGGCCUAACACAUGCAAGUCGAACGGUAACAGGAAGCAGCUUGCUGCCUCGCUGACGAGUGGCGGACGGGUGAGUAAUGUCUGGGAAGCUGCCUGAUGGAGGGGGAUAACUACUGGAAACGGUAGCUAAUACCGCAUAAUGUCGCAAGACCAAAGAGGGGGACCUUCGGGCCUCUUGCCAUCGGAUGUGCCCAGAUGGGAUUAGCUUGUUGGUGGGGUAACGGCUCACCAAGGCGACGAUCCCUAGCUGGUCUGAGAGGAUGACCAGCCACACUGGAACUGAGACACGGUCCAGACUCCUACGGGAGGCAGCAGUGGGGAAUAUUGCACAAUGGGCGCAAGCCUGAUGCAGCCAUGCCGCGUGUAUGAAGAAGGCCUUCGGGUUGUAAAGUACUUUCAGCGGGGAGGAAGGGAGUAAAGUUAAUACCUUGCUCAUUGACGUUACCCGCAGAAGAAGCACCGGCUAACUCCGUGCCAGCAGCCGCGGUAAUACGGAGGGUGCAAGCGUUAAUCGGAAUUACUGGGCGUAAAGCGCACGCAGGCGGUUUGUUAAGUCAGAUGUGAAAUCCCCGGGCUCAACCUGGGAACUGCAUCUGAUACUGGCAAGCUUGAGUCUCGUAGAGGGGGGUAGAAUUCCAGGUGUAGCGGUGAAAUGCGUAGAGAUCUGGAGGAAUACCGGUGGCGAAGGCGGCCCCCUGGACGAAGACUGACGCUCAGGUGCGAAAGCGUGGGGAGCAAACAGGAUUAGAUACCCUGGUAGUCCACGCCGUAAACGAUGUCGACUUGGAGGUUGUGCCCUUGAGGCGUGGCUUCCGGAGCUAACGCGUUAAGUCGACCGCCUGGGGAGUACGGCCGCAAGGUUAAAACUCAAAUGAAUUGACGGGGGCCCGCACAAGCGGUGGAGCAUGUGGUUUAAUUCGAUGCAACGCGAAGAACCUUACCUGGUCUUGACAUCCACGGAAGUUUUCAGAGAUGAGAAUGUGCCUUCGGGAACCGUGAGACAGGUGCUGCAUGGCUGUCGUCAGCUCGUGUUGUGAAAUGUUGGGUUAAGUCCCGCAACGAGCGCAACCCUUAUCCUUUGUUGCCAGCGGUCCGGCCGGGAACUCAAAGGAGACUGCCAGUGAUAAACUGGAGGAAGGUGGGGAUGACGUCAGGUCAUCAUGGCCCUUACGACCAGGGCUACACACGUGCUACAAUGGCGCAUACAAAGAGAAGCGACCUCGCGAGAGCAAGCGGACCUCAUAAAGUGCGUCGUAGUCCGGAUUGGAGUCUGCAACUCGACUCCAUGGAGUCGGAAUCGCUAGUAAUCGUGGAUCAGAAUGCCACGGUGAAUACGUUCCCGGGCCUUGUACACACCGCCCGUCACACCAUGGGAGUGGGUUGCAAAAGAAGUAGGUAGCUUAACCUUCGGGAGGGCGCUUACCACUUUGUGAUUCAUGACUGGGGUGAAGUCGUAACAAGGUAACCGUAGGGAACCUGCGGUUG
RNAcentral lists this ribosomal RNA (1517 nucleotides) under metagenome. RNAcentral describes it as "bacterial SSU rRNA". It matches the Rfam family "Bacterial small subunit ribosomal RNA". The record is from RNAcentral.